GACCUCGGAUCAGGCAGGGAUACCCGCUGAACUUAAGCAUAUCAAUA
This 47-nucleotide ribosomal RNA is filed under the name Jenniferia cinerea. RNAcentral describes it as "Hevansia cinerea partial 28S ribosomal RNA". Lineage: Eukaryota; Fungi; Ascomycota; Sordariomycetes; Hypocreales; Cordycipitaceae. The record is from RNAcentral.